This 463-nucleotide ribosomal RNA is filed under the name uncultured Rhodocyclaceae bacterium. RNAcentral describes it as "bacterial SSU rRNA". It matches the Rfam family "Bacterial small subunit ribosomal RNA", at positions 919 to 1382 of the family's 1533-position model. Lineage: Bacteria; Pseudomonadati; Pseudomonadota; Betaproteobacteria; Rhodocyclales; Rhodocyclaceae. The record is from RNAcentral.
ACCCGCACAAGCGGUGGAUGAUGUGGAUUAAUUCGAUGCAACGCGAAAACCUUACCUACCCUUGACAUGUCCGGAAUCCCGAAGAGAUUUGGGAGUGCUCGCAAGAGAACCGGAACACAGGUGCUGCAUGGCUGUCGUCAGCUCGUGUCGUGAGAUGUUGGGUUAAGUCCCGCAACGAGCGCAACCCUUGUCAUUAGUUGCCAUCAUUUGGUUGGGCACUCUAAUGAGACUGCCGGUGACAAACCGGAGGAAGGUGGGGAUGACGUCAAGUCCUCAUGGCCCUUAUGGGUAGGGCUUCACACGUCAUACAAUGGUCGGUACAGAGGGUUGCCAACCCGCGAGGGGGAGCUAAUCCCACAAAGCCGAUCGUAGUCCGGAUCGCAGUCUGCAACUCGACUGCGUGAAGUCGGAAUCGCUAGUAAUCGCGGAUCAGCAUGUCGCGGUGAAUACGUUCCCGGGUCUU